Long non-coding RNA from Miniopterus natalensis, 281 nucleotides. RefSeq lists it as uncharacterized. The record is from RefSeq and is a predicted model, not a curated record. NCBI's taxonomy places the organism in Eukaryota, Metazoa, Chordata, Mammalia, Chiroptera, Miniopteridae.
GCUUCUGGCCCCCUCGGGAUUCACCUGGGCGCUGCGGGUGCUCUCCGGGGUCUCCCCGGCCCGGCCGGAUGCCCCUGAAAGCGCUCGAGAAGACAGCUGCGGCCCGGGGCGGCCGGGUGGGCAGCUCAGCCUCUCGUGUAGCGCCCGCGGAGAUUUGGGGGGCCGUGUCACUGCGAGAAGAACGAGACUGCCGCGAGAAAGGCCACAGGUCUGAUGGCUCCAAUAUUCCUUUACCAUCCUUGGAACUCAACAAUCUGGAAUCAAAGAGAAUGGAAGGGAGA